UAGGGAAUAUUGGGCAAUGGGCGAAAGCCUGACCCAGCCAUGCCGCGUGAGUGAUGAAGGUCCUAGAGAUUGUAAAACUCUUUUCUGAGGAAAGAAUGAAUAGGGAAGGAAAUGUCCUUAUUUUGACGGUACCUCAGGAAUAAGGAACGGCUAACUCCGUGCCAGCAGCCGCGGUAAUACGGAGGUUCCAAGCGUUGUUCGGAAUUACUGGGCGUAAAGGGAGCGCAGGCGGAUAGGUCAGUCUAAAGUGGAAAUCCGGGGCUCAACCUCGGACUUGCUUCGGAUACUGCCUGUCUUGAGUUCGUGAUAGGAAGAUGGAAUUCAGGGUGUAGCGGUGAAAUGCACAGAUAUCCUGAGGAACACCGGUGGCGAAAGCGGUCUUCUGGCACGAAACUGACGCUGAGGCUCGAAAGCGCGGGUAGCAAACGGG
This 430-nucleotide ribosomal RNA is filed under the name uncultured bacterium. RNAcentral describes it as "bacterial SSU rRNA". It matches the Rfam family "Bacterial small subunit ribosomal RNA", at positions 355 to 776 of the family's 1533-position model. The record is from RNAcentral.